GACGAACGCUGGCGGCGUGCCUAAUACAUGCAAGUAGAACGCUGAAGGAGGAGCUUGCUCUUCUGGAUGAGUUGCGAACGGGUGAGUAACGCGUAGGUAACCUGCCUGGUAGCGGGGGAUAACUAUUGGAAACGAUAGCUAAUACCGCAUAAGAGUAGAUGUUGCAUGACAUUUGCUUAAAAGGUGCAAUUGUAUCACUACCAGAUGGACCUGCGUUGUAUUAGCUAGUUGGUGGGGUAACGGCUCACCAAGGCGACGAUACAUAGCCGACCUGAGAGGGUGAACGGCCAAACUGGGACUGAGACACGGCCCAGACUCCUACGGGAGGCAGCAGUAGGGAAUCUUCGGCAAUGGACGGAAGUCUGACCGAGCAACGCCGCGUGAGUGAAGAAGGUUUUCGGAUCGGAAAGCUCUGUUGUAAGAGAAGAACGAGUGUGAGAGUGGAAAGUUCACACUGUGACGGUAUCUUACCAGAAAGGGACGGCUAACUACGUG
This 495-nucleotide ribosomal RNA is filed under the name uncultured bacterium. RNAcentral describes it as "partial 16S ribosomal RNA". It matches the Rfam family "Bacterial small subunit ribosomal RNA", at positions 28 to 507 of the family's 1533-position model. The record is from RNAcentral.